Bombyx mori (domestic silkworm) is the source of this 700-nucleotide long non-coding RNA. RefSeq lists it as uncharacterized. Lineage: Eukaryota; Metazoa; Arthropoda; Insecta; Lepidoptera; Bombycidae. The transcript has 2 exons. The record is from RefSeq and is a predicted model, not a curated record.
AUUCAGAACUUAAACAUUGUGAUACAGACAGUUACCUAAAACGUUUACGGCCAAAAAACGUGUGCCAUGUAAAAAUGUUUAUAGAUUCACCUGUCAUCCAGUCCUAUCAUGUAUCCUAUGACCCUCCAGAAGUGAUUGUAAGCUUGCCAGUCGCCGUCGCCCAGCUGCCUUAUGCCAAAGAAGUCGGGUUUUAGUACCGAGAAUCCGAUGAAGCCGAAUUGCGUGAGAGCGAUGUCUCUCUGCGAUACCACUCCGGUUCCUUUAGCGUUUGAGGCUAAUGAUGCUUUGACGUGGCGACUCCUCACUGCGUACAGUGACCUCCAGGACCUGAAGGAGAUAUACUACUGCUCUGUCAAGAAUGUUUCGGGAAAAGAUAAAUAAUACACAAAACGACCAAAACGUUCAUUAUUCGUCGAAAAUUUAUUUUAUCACCUUCAAAGUGUGCUCCAUCAGAUAUAAUAUAUAUGUAUAAAUCAUAUUGCAGGACGUUUGAACCGCGGUUGCAUUACCACGUCGCACGCGGCAGUGCGGGGAAUAUUUAAAAGCUAUUUAUAUGUUUUUUUUAUCAUUAAUUAAUUAUGAUCUUAUCAUUCGAAAGGAAUGUGUAAAUAAAAUUCUAAAACUUUAUCUCGUAUCACGAUAGACUGUAUAAUUAGAAAUGUAGAAAACAAUUAAAUAAUAAAUAUAUCUCGAUCGAUAA